UGUCACCAAACCUUCUUGUUAAAACUCUCAUCAGCUCUCAGAAGCUAAGUACUGUUUGGGCUGGUUAGUACUUGUAUGGGAGACCAUUGGGAAUACCAGGUCUCAUAGUGGGAC
RNAcentral lists this ribosomal RNA (114 nucleotides) under Periophthalmus magnuspinnatus. Lineage: Eukaryota; Metazoa; Chordata; Actinopteri; Gobiiformes; Gobiidae. The record is from RNAcentral.